RNAcentral lists this ribosomal RNA (253 nucleotides) under uncultured bacterium. RNAcentral describes it as "partial 16S ribosomal RNA". It matches the Rfam family "Bacterial small subunit ribosomal RNA", at positions 524 to 776 of the family's 1533-position model. The record is from RNAcentral.
CACGUAGGGGGCGAGCGUUGUCCGGAUUUAUUGGGCGUAAAGCGCACGUAGGCGGCUUUGUAAGUUAGAGGUGAAAGCCCGGAGCUCAACUCCGGAACUGCCUUUAAGACUGCAUCGCUUGAAUCCAGGAGAGGUGAGUGGAAUUCCGAGUGUAGAGGUGAAAUUCGUAGAUAUUCGGAAGAACACCAGUGGCGAAGGCGGCUCACUGGACUGGUAUUGACGCUGAGGUGCGAAAGCGUGGGGAGCAAACAGG